UUAUUUUUAAAUAUGUGCAGGAAGAUUGCUUCUACGACCUACCUUACAAUACUGGGUAUCAAAUUUUCGUGCUACGUUUACGGAAGAUAAGGGAUGAAAUUAUGAAGUGUACUCUCUCUAUAUAUGUAGAUAUAUACUUUGAUUGAAGAACUGGGGUAGCUUUAGAUGGUUAAUUGUAAAGAUAAUGAAUGAUUAUGUAGUGGA
RNAcentral lists this long non-coding RNA (204 nucleotides) under Panax ginseng (ginseng). RNAcentral's name for it is "long non-coding RNA (PGIN_LNC014405)". Lineage: Eukaryota; Viridiplantae; Streptophyta; Magnoliopsida; Apiales; Araliaceae. The record is from RNAcentral.